CCUACGGGAGGCAGCAGUGAGGAAUAUUGGUCAAUGGGCGCGAGUCUGAACCAGCCAUGCCGCGUGCGGGAAGAAGGCACAACGUAUCGUAAACCGCUUUUGUCAGGGGACAAACGCGGGUACUAGUCCCCGUCUGAGGGUACCGGAAGAAAAAGCAUCGGCUAACUCCGUGCCAGCAGCCGCGGUAAUCCGGAGGAUGCGGGCGUUAUCCGGAUUUAUUGGGUUUAAGGGGUGCGCAGGCGUCGGGUUAAGUUCGCGGGAAAAUCCCGGGGCCCAACCCCGGGGAGUCGUUGAAACGGGCGGGCUAGAGAGGGGGAGAGGUAGGCGGAAUGCGUGGUGUAGCGGUGAAAUGCUUAGAGAUCGCGCAGAACACCGAUUGCGAAGGCAGCGUACCGAGCCACUACUGACGCUGAGGCACGAAAGCGUGGGGAGCGAACAGGAUUAGAUACCCGUGUAGUC
Molecule: ribosomal RNA, 459 nt
Filed under: uncultured bacterium
Lineage: Bacteria
Description: partial 16S ribosomal RNA
Rfam family: Bacterial small subunit ribosomal RNA
Source: RNAcentral